This 500-nucleotide ribosomal RNA is filed under the name uncultured Methanosarcina sp. Its description in RNAcentral is "bacterial SSU rRNA". It matches the Rfam family "Archaeal small subunit ribosomal RNA", at positions 373 to 873 of the family's 1478-position model. Lineage: Archaea; Methanobacteriati; Methanobacteriota; Methanomicrobia; Methanosarcinales; Methanosarcinaceae. The record is from RNAcentral.
AGGGGACACCGAGUGUCAGCAUCAUAUGCUGGCUGUCCAGGUGUGUAAAAUACACCUGUUAGCAAGGGCCGGGCAAGACCGGUGCCAGCCGCCGCGGUAACACCGGCGGCCCGAGUGGUGAUCGUGAUUAUUGGGUCUAAAGGGUCCGUAGCCGGUUUGGUCAGUCCUCCGGGAAAUCUGAUAGCUCAACUAUUAGGCUAUCGGGGGAUACUACCAGACUUGGAACCGGGAGAGGUAAGAGGUACUACAGGGGUAGGAGUGAAAUCUUGUAAUCCCUGUGGGACCACCUGUGGCGAAGGCGUCUUACCAGAACGGGUUCGACGGUGAGGGACGAAAGCUGGGGGCACGAACCGGAUUAGAUACCCGGGUAGUCCCAGCCGUAAACGAUGCUCGCUAGGUGUCAGGCAUGGCGCGACCGUGUCUGGUGCCGCAGGGAAGCCGUGAAGCGAGCCACCUGGGAAGUACGGCCGCAAGGCUGAAACUUAAAGGAAUUGGCGGGG